UACAGAGGUCCCGAGCGUUGUCCGGAAUUACUGGGCGUAAAGAGCUCGUAGGUGGUUUGUCGCGUUGUUCGUGAAAACUCACAGCUUAACUGUGGGCGUGCGGGCGAUACGGGCAGACUUGAGUACUGCAGGGGAGACUGGAAUUCCUGGUGUAGCGGUGGAAUGCGCAGAUAUCAGGAGGAACACCGGUGGCGAAGGCGGGUCUCUGGGCAGUAACUGACGCUGAGGAGCGAAAGCGUGGGGGAGCGAACAGG
This 254-nucleotide ribosomal RNA is filed under the name uncultured bacterium. RNAcentral describes it as "partial 16S ribosomal RNA". It matches the Rfam family "Bacterial small subunit ribosomal RNA", at positions 524 to 776 of the family's 1533-position model. The record is from RNAcentral.